UACGUAGGCAGCAAGCGUUGUUCGGAAUUACUGGGCGUAAAGAGUGUGUAGGCGGUGCUCUAAGUUCGGUGUGAAAUCUCCGGGCUCAACCUGGAAACUGCCAUUGAUACUAUUAGUCUUGAAUAUUGUUGAGGUAGGCGGAAUAAGUCAUGUAGCGGUGAAAUGCAUAGAUAUGACUUAGAACACCAAUUGCGAAGGCAGCUUGCUAAACAAUGAUUGACGCUGAGGCACGAAAGCGUGGGGAUCAAACAGG
RNAcentral lists this ribosomal RNA (253 nucleotides) under uncultured bacterium. RNAcentral's name for it is "partial 16S ribosomal RNA". It matches the Rfam family "Bacterial small subunit ribosomal RNA", at positions 524 to 776 of the family's 1533-position model. The record is from RNAcentral.